RNAcentral lists this transfer RNA (73 nucleotides) under Acaryochloridaceae cyanobacterium RL_2_7. RNAcentral describes it as "tRNA-Phe". It matches the Rfam family "tRNA". From Rfam's summary of the family: Transfer RNA (tRNA) molecules are approximately 80 nucleotides in length. Their secondary structure includes four short double-helical elements and three loops (D, anti-codon, and T loops). The record is from RNAcentral. Lineage: Bacteria; Bacillati; Cyanobacteriota; Cyanophyceae; Acaryochloridales; Acaryochloridaceae.
GCCGGGAUAGCUCAGUCGGUAGAGCAGGGGAUUGAAAAUCCCCGUGUCACCAGUUCGAUUCUGGUUCCUGGCA